GAUGAAGAACGUAGCGAAAUGCGAUACGUAAUGUGAAUUGCAGAAUUCAGUGAAUCAUCGAAUCUUUGAACGCAUAUUGCGCUCUUUGGUAUUCCGAAGAGCAUGCUUGUUUGAGUAUCAGUAAACACCUCAAAGCUUUUGGAUUUUUUAAUCGAAAAGCUUUGGACUCGAGCAAUCCCAACACCAAUCUUUUUGAGAUCGGUGGCGGGUUGCUUGAAAUGCAGGUGCAGCUGGACAUUCUCCUGAGCUAAAAGCAUAUUCAUUUAGUCCCGUCAAACGGAUUAUUACUUUUGCUGCAGCUAACAUAAAGGGAGUUUGACCGUAUUGGCUGACUGAUGCAGGAUUUCACAAGGGUCGGCAACGAUUCUUGUUAAACUCGAUCUCAAAUCAAGUAAGACUACCCGCUGAACUUAAGCAUAUCAAUAAGCGGAGGA
RNAcentral lists this unclassified non-coding RNA (434 nucleotides) under soil metagenome. RNAcentral's name for it is "partial contains 5.8S ribosomal RNA, internal transcribed spacer 2, and large subunit ribosomal RNA". The stretch from base 1 to 120 matches the Rfam family "5.8S ribosomal RNA", at positions 35 to 154 of the family's 154-position model. The record is from RNAcentral.